UGUAAACCUCUUUUAGCAGGGAAGAAGCGAAAGUGACGGUACCUGCAGAAAAAGCGCCGGCUAACUACGUGCCAGCAGCCGCGGUAAUACGUAGGGCGCAAGCGUUAUCCGGAAUUAUUGGGCGUAAAGAGCUCGUAGGCGGUUUGUCGCGUCUGCUGUGAAAUCCCGAGGCUCAACCUCGGGCCUGCAGUGGGUACGGGCAGACUAGAGUGCGGUAGGGGAGAUUGGAAUUCCUGGUGUAGCGGUGGAAUGCGCAGAUAUCAGGAGGAACACCGAUGGCGAAGGCAGAUCUCUGGGCCGUAACUGACGCUGAGGAGCGAAAGGGUGGGGAGCAAACAGGCUUAGAUACCCUGGUAGUCCACCCCGUAAACGUUGGGAACUAGUUGUGGGGUCCAUUCCACGGAUUCCGUGACGCAGCUAACGCAUUAAGUUCCCCGCCUGGGGAGUACGGCCGCAAGGCUAAAACUCAAAGGAAUUGACGGGGACCCGCACAAGCGGCGGAGCAUGCGGAUUAAUUCGAUGCAACGCGAAGAACCUUACCAAGGCUUGACAUAUACGAGAACGGGCCAGAAAUGGUCAACUCUUUGGACACUCGUAAACAGGUGGUGCAUGGUUGUCGUCAGCUCGUGUCGUGAGAUGUUGGGUUAAGUCCCGCAACGAGCGCAACCCUCGUUCUAUGUUGCCAGCACGUAAUGGUGGGAACUCAUGGGAUACUGCCGGGGUCAACUCGGAGGAAGGUGGGGAUGACGUCAAAUCAUCAUGCCCCUUAUGUCUUGGGCUUCACGCAUGCUACAAUGGCCGGUACAAAGGGCUGCAAUACCGCGAGGUGGAGCGAAUCCCAAAAAGCCGGUCCCAGUUCGGAUUGAGGUCUGCAACUCGACCUCAUGAAGUCGGAGUCGCUAGUAAUCGCAGAUCAGCAAC
This 921-nucleotide ribosomal RNA is filed under the name Microbacterium sp. BE168. Its description in RNAcentral is "bacterial SSU rRNA". It matches the Rfam family "Bacterial small subunit ribosomal RNA", at positions 424 to 1356 of the family's 1533-position model. The record is from RNAcentral. Lineage: Bacteria; Bacillati; Actinomycetota; Actinomycetes; Micrococcales; Microbacteriaceae.